Molecule: long non-coding RNA, 3385 nt
Organism: Periophthalmus magnuspinnatus
Lineage: Eukaryota; Metazoa; Chordata; Actinopteri; Gobiiformes; Gobiidae
Exons: 2
Source: RefSeq, a predicted model, not a curated record
UUUCCUUUGGCUCGAGGUGGGAGAGGAAAAAUGGCGUCGGUCUGAGGCUGGUGAAGAAGGGGACGAGGGGACCUUCUCCGUCCUUUCGGGGGGAGACAGGAGUUUCUUCGGAGGAAUGUGCGGAGAUAAAUAUUAAAAAGAACACAACCUGGCUGUUUUAUGUGGCGGAAAAAGAGCAAUCGCACAGUUUAUUGAGAGACGCAUCACCGCGGACGAGGAAAUCCUUUGGCUUUUGUUUACCAUUGUGAGCAGCUGCAGCUAAAGCCACAGCUAAGGCAUCAUGAACACAGAAGAUGAACCAGCACUAGCCCCUAUUGGAGUCUCCUUCUGUACCCAUUCGACCGCUUCUGCUGAAAAUGAGAGUCCAUUAUGAAGAUGACCUCAUUUGGGCUUUGGGACAUCGCUGCCCAUCCUUCGGCAGUUUUUUUCCAAUCUCUCCCUUUCUCGCUCUCCUCCCUCCAGCCCUGUCCCACUUCUGCAAAUGAAUCUGUGAGCAGAAUCAUUUUUGUCUGACCAUUAGGCGCAUACUGGCUAAAUAUGUAAGGUUAACUCUUUCUUUUGGUCAUAAAAAUUCACCUUCUUUCCUGAUACUUUUACGAUACAUUUUUGUGUGUGAACAUAGUCUGUCAAUCAGAAAAAAACGUUUUGAAAGCUUAAAAUAUAACAAUAGUUUAAGAACAAAUGGCUACCCUUUCCUAUUUUUUCUAUGAAGACACAUCUACUGUAGCAAAGAUCAAGGCCUGUGAUUCAGAUAGCCUCAUAAUAUAGUUUUGUUUUGCACUACCUCAUUGCCAAAAAAUAGUAAAAUUAGUAGCAGUUUUAUACUUGAGUAAAAUGCCUUUGGUUCAUGGCUAGCAGUAGUCAGAGUUCAGAAGGUGGUGAUGGGGAAAAGCCCAAAAUAUAGUUUAAACUUUAAAGGAAUUGUCUUCUAUGCAUCAUUGUCUGUGGAGCUUGCCAAAAUAUUGAUUUUAUUUUGAAAAUUCUCCCUGGGUGUCUUUUAGAAUUGGAAACUUGUUAAGUUUAGUCAGAGGUAAUAGAAUCCAAUAACUAAUCAUAUGAUGUUUUAUAUUCGACUUUUAUGUUUGCCAUUUUGCUUUUUUGAACUAAUCUAGUUGUCUCAGAAUCAAUGGAAUUUUUAGCUGAUCAUUUAAAAUAGUCUUUAAAAGUCCAUUAGUGCCAUCUCUUGGGCACUUCAAUCCUUCAUAUAUUUUUCAUUAUUUUAUGGAUUGAGUUUACCCAUUAGAAAAACCCUGGUUCCACUCAUCUAAAAUAUCUUCUAUUUUCUUUUCUAUUGUCUUGCUUGUAUUUUAACAUGUUAAACCGGGAUUUGUGCAAUAUUUUAUCUAAAAACUGUCAUGUUGUUGACCAAACUGUAUAUUGUAAAAAGUAAACAAGUGACAAGUUGUUUGAAAAGCAACAAAAUCACCAAUGUCUUCCAUUAAGAUAUGUAUAGACUCAUGUGCAUUAGCAUUUAGCUUAGCCAACAUUAUUGUAGCCAUGCAUGACCAGUAGUAACGCUUGCUUUAUGACAAAUAAAUAGUAAAAUAAACCCACUUUUAGACUUAAGAUGGAGCUCAGAUGUGUAGCGUUUAAUCAAUCCAGGUGUUGGGUAAUUUAAAGUUAUGUAAAAAGAUUAGCCGUCUAAUGCCAUGUUCAUGUGGUCCUCAGAUUUUUAAAAUGUAUUUUACUUUGAAAGCUAUUUGGUAAAGCAGUAUGGCUACUCAUUUAAGGGUGUUUCUUUCUACCCAUAGUGUUUCUGAUGCAUGAUGCUGAAAUGUAAAAGACUAGACUUGUUUUGAGGUGAAUGUUUCUGAGGACACCAUGAAUGUGGCUUUAGCCCAGUAUCCAUUUAACCUAUAUUCCCAAACCAACAGUAUAAAAUCUUAAGGUUAUGCAAUUAAGUCUUGCAUGUGUGCUCAAAUACUUAAAAAUGCAAACCAAUUGUAGAUUAAUCUUAAGCACCCAAAUGCCAUGGAUUUUCUACAGGCAUCCCACUCAAAGCUUUAGUGAACAAAAAUAAACUUGAUGUAGCUUUUUGAUUUGAGAUCUUGCAUAACAUAAACUCAUUACAUUUUAUCCAUACAAUUGUAUUGGGUUAGAUAUUUAGAAGCAAUAACCUACAAAUGCAUGAUUUAAUACCAGGGUGUAGUGGUUAAGGGUAGCAUAUAUAAGUGAUAGUGUAGCCCUCCUUAAAUCUACUUUUUCUUUCUUUUCUUUUUUUUUUUUUUUUUUACUUUUGAAGAAUACGGACUGUGUAGCAUAGUAGAAACACACUUACCCAUAUGUUUAUAUUUUUCAAAGACUAUUUUCCCAAUCUUGCACCAAAAUACUUUGCAAAAAUAUGCUCUAUUGUACAGAAACCCAUUCAAUGACAACAUAUGUUCUCUAAAAAUAUAGACUUUAAGUAACUGUGGCUGCAAAACUGACAUCCAAUCAUACUUGACGCUUGUUUGGAAAAGCACUUUGUAAUAUUUUGCCUCAUUUAAGACCAUUUCUCAUCAUUGUGUCUUAAAAUUCAGUUUUCUCUUCAAACACUGUAAAGUGGGAAUUUAUAAUCAAAAACGUACAUAGGCAACAAUGAUAUUGAUGUAUGGGUUUUAAAAAUAUGCAUGAUUUAGGUGAAAAAUGAAUGAUUUGUAUUGCAUGCAAUAAUCCAACUUUGUAAUGUGAAUGGGUGUAACCUUAGGGUGUUCAUAUCAGAUGUUUGUUGUGAUAAGUGAUGAUUUGGGGACAAAGUUUGGCACAGCAAGGAGCAGUUUUUGUACUGUAGGAAAGGACAUCUUAAAUCUUGAAUGUAAUCUUAUAAAUGGUACAGCUUAGUAUUUUGGGAAUUACUUAAAUUUGGUGUAUGUGUAACAGAAGCAUAAGUUCAUCUAAGUAUGCCUCUAAAAUUAUCUCAUAUAUACAGGCUUGUGAUUGGUCAUUAACAAAAUAUGUAAUUGAGCUUUUGUUAAUGAGCUCAAUUACAAGUCAGAAUAAAGAUGUGACAGCCAUCUUCUGGCUUGUUAGUCAUACGUGUUAUGAUACCAAAGUAGUUGGAUGCAAUGCAACACUACUUGGGAAAAAAAAUAGGCAGGAAAGGCUUAUUUUUGUCAUAAACAGUUUUUUAGCUUAGUGUAAUCAUCAGUAACAACAUAAUGGGGCAGAUUUAUAUUUGUUCUGUCACACUUGUUCUGUCAACCUUUGUUCCUAAGGAUAAAUAAUGGUAAAUGUUACAAAGUGAUUAUUGACUUUGGUGAUCACGUUUCCACUGUUUGCGGUGGACUGUGUAGAAACUAUGCACUCCAGUGAGAGGACGUGGGCAUGCUUCUAUCUGUGAGCCUCUUCAUCUGGAUUUGUAUUAAGGAAAAAAACAGCAAUAAAAUGCAGCAUGGUGCCAAUACGA